Molecule: ribosomal RNA, 743 nt
Filed under: uncultured bacterium
Lineage: Bacteria
Description: bacterial SSU rRNA
Rfam family: Bacterial small subunit ribosomal RNA
Source: RNAcentral
UGACGAGUGGCGGACGGGUGAGUAAUGCUUGGGAACUUGCCUUUGCGAGGGGGAUAACAGUUGGAAACGACUGCUAAUACCGCAUAAUGUCUACGGACCAAACGGGGCUUAGGCUCCGGCGCAAAGAGAGGCCCAAGUGAGAUUAGCUAGAUGGUGAGGUAAAGGCUCACCAUGGCCACGAUCUCUAGCUGUUCUGAGAGGAAGAUCAGCCACACUGGGACUGAGACACGGCCCAGACUCCUACGGGAGGCAGCAGUGGGGAAUAUUGCACAAUGGGGGAAACCCUGAUGCAGCCAUGCCGCGUGUGUGAAGAAGGCCUUCGGGUUGUAAAGCACUUUCAGUUGUGAGGAAAGGGUGUUGGUUAAUACCCAAUAUCUGUGACGUUAACAACAGAAGAAGCACCGGCUAACUCCGUGCCAGCAGCCGCGGUAAUACGGAGGGUGCGAGCGUUAAUCGGAAUUACUGGGCGUAAAGCGCACGCAGGCGGUUUGUUAAGCUAGAUGUGAAAGCCCCGGGCUCAACCUGGGACGGUCAUUUACAACUGGCAGACUACAGUCUUGGAGAGGGGAGUGGAAUUCCAGGUGUAGCGGUGAAAUGCGUAGAUAUCUGGAGGAACAUCAGUGGCGAAGGCGACUCCCUGGCCGAAGACUGACGCUCAUGUGCGAAAGUGUGGGUAGCGAACAGGAUUAGAUACCCUGGUAGUCCACACCGUACACGCUGUCUACUAGCUGUGUGUGAAUUUA